GCGCUCACCUCACAGCACUUACGUUAACACUGGAAUGUUACGGAGAGGAGCAGCGUGGCCCCUGCACAAGGGUGACACGCCAACUCGUGAAGCGUUCCGUAUUAAA
Small nuclear RNA from Equus asinus (donkey), 106 nucleotides. Lineage: Eukaryota; Metazoa; Chordata; Mammalia; Perissodactyla; Equidae. The record is from Ensembl.